GACGAACGCUGGCGGCGUGCCUAAUACAUGCAAGUAGAACGCUGAAGAGAGGAGCUUGCUCUUCUUGGAUGAGUUGCGAACGGGUGAGUAACGCGUAGGUAACCUGCCUUGUAGCGGGGGAUAACUAUUGGAAACGAUAGCUAAUACCGCAUAACAAUGGAUGACACAUGUCAUUUAUUUGAAAGGGGCAAUUGCUCCACUACAAGAUGGACCUGCGUUGUAUUAGCUAGUAGGUGAGGUAAUGGCUCACCUAGGCGACGAUACAUAGCCGACCUGAGAGGGUGAUCGGCCACACUGGGACUGAGACACGGCCCAGACUCCUACGGGAGGCAGCAGUAGCGAAUCUUCGGCAAUGGGGGCAACCCUGACCGAGCAACGCCGCGUGAGUGAAGAAGGUUUUCGGAUCGUAAAGCUCUGUUGUAAGUCGAGAACGGGUGUGAGAGUGGAAAGUUCACACUGUGACGGUAGCUUACCAGAAAGGGACGGCUAACUACGUG
This 497-nucleotide ribosomal RNA is filed under the name uncultured bacterium. Its description in RNAcentral is "partial 16S ribosomal RNA". It matches the Rfam family "Bacterial small subunit ribosomal RNA", at positions 28 to 507 of the family's 1533-position model. The record is from RNAcentral.